Molecule: long non-coding RNA, 676 nt
Filed under: Salmo salar (Atlantic salmon)
Lineage: Eukaryota; Metazoa; Chordata; Actinopteri; Salmoniformes; Salmonidae
Description: lncRNA (ENSSSAG00000117116.1)
Source: RNAcentral
UUGUAUGGUGUGGUUAUUCACAGGCAAAUUGUUAUAUGCUAUGGAGGUACAUUUGUGUCUUUUUGUUGAGAGCAAAACCUUUUUUAUUUUUAAUCAAAAAUAAUUGUUCUGAAAGUAAGUUUUUUCCGACACAAAGAAAGUCAAAGCGGACACCUACAAAGAUGGCAUCUCAGGUAAGCAGCACUGGGCUGUAUUGACGUAUCCUAAAAAUGACAUCUGCUGCUUUAGAUUGAAUGGUCAUAUCUGUUAUUAUUUUCAUAUCUAUAAAAAAUAAGCUGUUUUCUUUACUUUCAGAGAGCGAGCUGACCAAGGGGUCGAAAAUGUAGAUAUUUCCAGAUGUUCCCGGCCCGAGGAACAGGCCGCGGAAGCUUUAUUGCUGGCAAAAGUGUCAAUAACCAGAGGUUAUAUCAGCUGUUUUGGUGAACCCCUCCCGUAUCUGAACUGGCUGACACGAGGGCACAGCAUGAUCAUAGGUAUGUUUUGAUGUGAGAGAGGAGGCCAGUCCCGUCAUCGCCACCUCACCCGCUCUUAAAUGUCCUUCGGGCCAAGGCUGGUUAGGAGACACUGCAAUUGUGAUGAACUGAGAGAAUAUUAGGGUAGCACUGUAAUUCAUGAGUCAUAUGCUGUCUGCCGCUGUUCUUACCUCGUUCCCUUUCUGUCUUCUACACCUCUCUCC